This 86-nucleotide transfer RNA is filed under the name Microgenomates group bacterium RIFCSPHIGHO2_01_FULL_45_11. RNAcentral's name for it is "tRNA-Tyr". It matches the Rfam family "tRNA". Rfam says of the family: Transfer RNA (tRNA) molecules are approximately 80 nucleotides in length. The record is from RNAcentral. RNAcentral also lists the same sequence under 1 other name.
GCUGGGGUACUCAAGCGGACAACGAGGGCAGUCUGUAAAACUGCUGGCGUAAGCCUACAUAGGUUCGAAUCCUAUCCCCAGCACAA